UUAAUGCCAGAUGCAUUAAAUUAAUUAAAUCCUUUCUGAAUCAAUCUGCGUUAUAAUGACUAUAGUCGUGUGGUUGGAAUCUCUUAAAACAAUGUUUUAUCAAGGUGCCUUCAGUACAGCAAGGCAAGUGUUUCAUCUUCAUUUUUAUUCUGAAAAGUUAUGAGGAGGAGGAGUUCUUCAACCGGUUGGUUUGUUUUCCCUGUUUUCGAGUCAGACUUUCUGCUGUAUAUUUAUUGCUGCCAGGCUUUUCCCAGUACCUUCUGUUCCGCCUGAACGCGGAGGCAGUGAUGAUGGGAGAGGUACUGGAUUAUGCUGUGUCAUGUCGCCGCGGGCUUUCUGCAUGACAGAAGAUCUUUAAAAUCAUUUAAAGGGCAUCCUGGCCCAAAACAAGGUCAACCACACAUGUAUUAGGACUCCAUGGAGAUAUUUCUUCUGGCGCUGAUCACGUCUGUUCGUGAAAUUGGAUAAUCUCUCCGGUGAUGUCCCAGAGAAGGAUCGCUCUGCUAGCCUGGUUUAGGAGGUCUUACAGAUGCCUGGCAAUACUUYUGAYUUCUAUACACUGCCAGAUUUGCGUGAAGAUUGAAAAUAACCCCUCAGCACUCCCUUUAGGUACUACAUAAACUUGAUCUGCAACAUAGCCCAGGAGGCACUUACCAAGCAGUCUGCAGCCCGGGAUAUAUGACUUUUGCCAUUCCUAGCAAAAACCGCAGGUAUGUGCCACCAGCAGAUGUCCCAUGGGCAUGCUGGGG
This 749-nucleotide long non-coding RNA is filed under the name Dromaius novaehollandiae (emu). Its description in RNAcentral is "lncRNA (ENSDNVG00000002720.1)". Lineage: Eukaryota; Metazoa; Chordata; Aves; Casuariiformes; Dromaiidae. The record is from RNAcentral.